CCUACGGGAGGCUGCAGUAGGGAAUAUUGCGCAAUGGGGGAAACCCUGACGCAGCGACGCCGCGUGAAGGAAGAAGGUUUUCGGAUCGUAAACUUCUUUGACUGGGGACGAAAGUAAUGACGGUACCCAGGGAACAAGCCACGGCUAACUACGUGCCAGCAGCCGCGGUAAUACGUAGGUGGCGAGCGUUGUCCGGAAUUACUGGGUGUAAAGGGCGUGUAGGCGGGAGAGCAAGUCAGAUGUGAAAGCCCAAGGCUCAACUUUGGGACUGCAUCUGAAACUGUUUUUCUUGAGUACUGGAGAGGGAAGCGGAAUUCCUAGUGUAGCGGUGAAAUGCGUAGAGAUUAGGAGGAACACCAGUGGCGAAGGCGGAUUGCUGGACAGAGACUGACGCUGAGGCGCGAAAGCGUGGGGAGCAAACAGGAUUAGAUACCCCUGUAGUC
Molecule: ribosomal RNA, 443 nt
Filed under: uncultured bacterium
Lineage: Bacteria
Description: bacterial SSU rRNA
Rfam family: Bacterial small subunit ribosomal RNA
Source: RNAcentral